AACGAACGCUGGCGGCAGGCUUAACACAUGCAAGUCGAGCGCCCCGCAAGGGGAGCGGCAGACGGGUGAGUAACGCGUGGGAACGUACCUUUUGGUUCGGAACAACUCCGGGAAACUGGAGCUAAUACCGGAUAAGCCCUAACGGGGAAAGAUUUAUCGCCGAAAGAUAGGCCCGCGUCUGAUUAGCUAGUUGGUGAGGUAACGGCUCACCAAGGCGACGAUCAGUAGCUGGUCUGAGAGGAUGAUCAGCCACACUGGGACUGAGACACGGCCCAGACUCCUACGGGAGGCAGCAGUGGGGAAUAUUGGACAAUGGGCGCAAGCCUGAUCCAGCCAUGCCGCGUGAGUGAUGAAGGCCUUAGGGUUGUAAAGCUCUUUUGUCCGGGAAGAUAAUGACUGUACCGGAAGAAUAAGCCCCGGCUAACUUCGUG
RNAcentral lists this ribosomal RNA (431 nucleotides) under uncultured bacterium. RNAcentral describes it as "partial 16S ribosomal RNA". It matches the Rfam family "Bacterial small subunit ribosomal RNA", at positions 29 to 507 of the family's 1533-position model. The record is from RNAcentral.